UAACGUGUAUUCUAUCCUAGGGUUAUUGUGUUUAGGGUUAUUCCGGUUAGUAUUAGUGUGUGUGUGUUAGGUAGAUACUGAUUGUAACGUGUAUUCUAUCCUAGGGUUAUUGUGUUUAGAGUUAUUCCGGUUAGUAUUAGUGUGUGUGUGUUAGGUAGAUACUGAUUGUAACGUGUAUUCUAUCCUAGGGUUAUUGUGUUUAGGGUUAUUCCGGUUAGUAUUAGUGUGUGUGUGUGUUAGGUAGAUACUGAUUGUAACGUGUAUUCUAUCCUAGGGUUAUUGUGUUUAGAGUUAUUCCGGUUAGUAUUAGUGUGUGUGUGUGUUAGGUAGAUACUGAUUGUAACGUGUAUUCUAUCCUAGGGUUAUUGUGUUUAGGGUUAUUCCGGUUAGUAUUAGUGUGUGUGUGUUAGGUAGAUACUGAUUGUAACGUGUAUUCUAUCUGUCCUAGGGUUAUUGUGUUUAGGGUUAUUCCGGUUAGUAUUAGUGUGUGUGUGUGUUAGGUAGAUACUGAUUGUAACGUGUAUUCUAUCCUAGGGUUAUUGUGUUUAGAGUUAUUCCGGUUAGUAUUAGUGUGUGUGUGUGUGUUAGGUAGAUACUGAUUGUAACGUGUAUUCUAUCUAUCCUAGGGUUAUUGUGUUUAGGGUUAUUCCGGUUAGUAUUAGUGUGUGUGUGUUAGGUAGAUACUGAUUGUAACGUGUAUUCUAUCCUAGGGUUAUUGUGUUUAGAGUUAUUCCGGUUAGUAUUAGUGUGUGUGUGUGUUAGGUAGAUACUGAUUGUAACGUGUAUUCUAUCCUAGGGUUAUUGUGUUUAGGGUUAUUCCGGUUAGUAUUAGUGUGUGUGUGUUAGGUAGAUACUGAUUGUAACGUGUAUUCUAUCUAUCCUAGGGUUAUUGUGUUUAGGGUUAUUCCGGUUAGUAUUAGUGUGUGUGUGUUAGGUAGAUACUGAUUGUAACGUGUAUUCUAUCCUAGGGUUAUUGUGUUUAGAGUUAUUCCGGUUAGUAUUAGUGUGUGUGUGUUAGGUAGAUACUGAUUGUAACGUGUAUUCUAUCUAUCCUAGGGUUAUUGUGUUUAGGGUUAUUCCGGUUAGUAUUAGUGUGUGUGUGUUAGGUAGAUACUGAUUGUAACGUGUAUUCUAUCUAUCCUAGGGUUAUUGUGUUUAGGGUUAUUCCGGUUAGUAUUAGUGUGUGUGUGUUAGGUAGAUACUGAUUGUAACGUGUAUUCUAUCCUAGGGUUAUUGUGUUUAGGGUUAUUCCGGUUAGUAUUAGUGUGUGUGUGUUAGGUAGAUACUGAUUGUAACGUGUAUUCUAUCCUAGGGUUAUUGUGUUUAGGGUUAUUCCGGUUAGUAUUAGUGUGUGUGUGUUAGGUAGAUACUGAUUGUAACGUGUAUUCUAUCCUAGGUUUAUUGUGUUUAGAGUUAUUCCGGUUAGUAUUAGUGUGUGUGUUAGGUAGAUACUGAUUGUAACGUGUAUUCUAUCCUAGGUUUAUUGUGUUUAGAGUUAUUCCGGUUAGUAUUAGUGUGUGUGUUAGGUAGAUACUGAUUGUAACGUGUAUUCUAUCCUAGGGUUAUUGUGUUUAGGGUUAUUCCGGUUAGUAUUAGUGUGUGUGUUAGGUAGAUACUGAUUGUAACGUGUAUUCUAUCCUAGGGUUAUUGUGUUUAGAGUUAUUCCGGUUAGUAUUAGUGUGUGUGUUAGGUAGAUACUGAUUGUAACGUGUAUUCUAUCUAUCCUAGGGUUAUUGUGUUUAGGGUUAUUCCGGUUAGUAUUAGUGUGUGUGUGUGUUAGGUAGAUACUGAUUGUAACGUGUAUUCUAUCCUAGGGUUAUUGUGUUUAGGGUUAUUCCGGUUAGUAUUAGUGUGUGUGUGUGUGGGGUAGAUACUGAUUGUAACGUGUAUUCUAUCCUAGGGUUAUUGUGUUUAGGGUUAUUCCGGUUAGUAUUAGUGUGUGUGUGUUAGGUAGAUACUGAUUGUAACGUGUAUUCUAUCUAUCCUAGGGUUAUUGUGUUUAGGGUUAUUCCGGUUAGUAUUAGUGUGUGUGUGUGGGGUAGAUACUGAUUGUAACGUGUAUUCUAUCCUAGGGUUAUUGUGUUUAGGGUUAUUCCGGUUAGUAUUAGUGUGUGUGUGUGUUAUUAUACUUAUUGUGGGUAUUGUACAGGUGUAGUUAUUAUACUUAUUGUGGGUAUUGUACAUGUGUAGUUAUUAUACUUAU
Bombina bombina (fire-bellied toad) is the source of this 2203-nucleotide long non-coding RNA. RefSeq lists it as uncharacterized. The record is from RefSeq and is a predicted model, not a curated record. Lineage: Eukaryota; Metazoa; Chordata; Amphibia; Anura; Bombinatoridae. The transcript has 5 exons.